This 75-nucleotide transfer RNA is filed under the name Rhynchospora emaciata. RNAcentral's name for it is "partial tRNA-Leu". It matches the Rfam family "tRNA", at positions 12 to 71 of the family's 71-position model. From Rfam's summary of the family: Transfer RNA (tRNA) molecules are approximately 80 nucleotides in length. Their secondary structure includes four short double-helical elements and three loops (D, anti-codon, and T loops). Lineage: Eukaryota; Viridiplantae; Streptophyta; Magnoliopsida; Poales; Cyperaceae. The record is from RNAcentral.
GAAAUCGGGUAGACGCUACGGACUUAAAAUCCGUCGAUUUUUUAAAUCAUGAGGGUUCAAAUCCCUCUAUCCCCA